AAUUCAGUUAAUAGUUUAGUUCAGUUAGUGCAGUUUACAGUACAGUUAAUAGUUCAGUUAGUGUAGUUUACAAUUCAGUUAAUAGUUCAGUUCAGUUCGUACUGUAAUUUAGUACAAUUCAGUAUAGUUCAGUUCAGUUCAGUUUGAUAAAACAAAAAACAGUUCAGUUCAGUUUGUCUGAACUGUUUUACAGUUCAGUUCAGUUUGUCUGAACUGUUUUAUAGUUCAGUUCAGUUUUUAGCAGUGCAGUACAGUUCAGUUCGAUUUGCCCACUCCUAGUAAUAAAUUUACCAAAGAUGUCACUCUUUCGUUGUUGGAUUUUCUUUUUUUUUUCUUUUUGUUUAAAAAUUUGGCACUGAACCACAGUAAAUAAUUAAAAUAACAAGUUGAAUUGCA
This 396-nucleotide long non-coding RNA is filed under the name Vigna radiata. Its description in RNAcentral is "long non-coding RNA (VRAD_LNC014744)". The record is from RNAcentral. Lineage: Eukaryota; Viridiplantae; Streptophyta; Magnoliopsida; Fabales; Fabaceae.